UACGGAGGGUGCGAGCGUUAAUCGGAAUUACUGGGCGUAAAGCGUGCGUAGACGGCUAUUUAAGUCGGGUGUGAAAGCCCCGGGCUCAACCUGGGAAUUGCAUUCGAGACUGAAUAGCUAGGGUACGGUAGAGGGAAGUGGAAUUUCCGGUGUAGCGGUGAAAUGCGUAGAUAUCGGAAGGAACAUCAGUGGCGAAAGCGACUUCCUGGACCAGUACCGACGAUCAGGCACGAAAGCGGGGGGAGCAAACAGG
RNAcentral lists this ribosomal RNA (253 nucleotides) under uncultured bacterium. Its description in RNAcentral is "partial 16S ribosomal RNA". It matches the Rfam family "Bacterial small subunit ribosomal RNA", at positions 524 to 776 of the family's 1533-position model. The record is from RNAcentral.